UUUUUAGAGAGUUUGAUCCUGGCUCAGGAUGAACGCUGGCGGCGUGCCUAACACAUGCAAGUCGAACGGGGUUAUUUUGGAAAAUCCUUCGGGAUUGGAAUUCUUAACCUAGUGGCGGACGGGUGAGUAACGCGUGAGCAAUCUGCCUUUAAGAGGGGGAUA
RNAcentral lists this ribosomal RNA (162 nucleotides) under Butyricicoccus sp. AM42-5AC. Its description in RNAcentral is "partial 16S ribosomal RNA". It matches the Rfam family "Bacterial small subunit ribosomal RNA", at positions 1 to 145 of the family's 1533-position model. Lineage: Bacteria; Bacillati; Bacillota; Clostridia; Eubacteriales; Butyricicoccaceae. The record is from RNAcentral.